Molecule: ribosomal RNA, 844 nt
Filed under: Arthrobacter oryzae
Lineage: Bacteria; Bacillati; Actinomycetota; Actinomycetes; Micrococcales; Micrococcaceae
Description: bacterial SSU rRNA
Rfam family: Bacterial small subunit ribosomal RNA
Source: RNAcentral
CGAUGAUCCCAGCUUGCUGGGGGAUUAGUGGCGAACGGGAGAGGAACACGUGAGUAACCUGCCCUUAACUCUGGGAUAAGCCUGGGAAACUGGGUCUAAUACCGGAUAUGACUCCUCAUCGCAUGGUGGGGGGUGGAAAGCUUUAUUGUGGUUUUGGAUGGACUCGCGGCCUAUCAGCUUGUUGGUGAGGUAAUGGCUCACCAAGGCGACGACGGGUAGCCGGCCUGAGAGGGUGACCGGCCACACUGGGACUGAGACACGGCCCAGACUCCUACGGGAGGCAGCAGUGGGGAAUAUUGCACAAUGGGCGAAAGCCUGAUGCAGCGACGCCGCGUGAGGGAUGACGGCCUUCGGGUUGUAAACCUCUUUCAGUAGGGAAGAAGCGAAAGUGACGGUACCUGCAGAAGAAGCGCCGGCUAACUACGUGCCAGCAGCCGCGGUAAUACGUAGGGCGCAAGCGUUAUCCGGAAUUAUUGGGCGUAAAGAGCUCGUAGGCGGUUUGUCGCGUCUGCCGUGAAAGUCCGGGGCUCAACUCCGGAUCUGCGGUGGGUACGGGCAGACUAGAGUGAUGUAGGGGAGACUGGAAUUCCUGGUGUAGCGGUGAAAUGCGCAGAUAUCAGGAGGAACACCGAUGGCGAAGGCAGGUCUCUGGGCAUUAACUGACGCUGAGGAGCGAAAGCAUGGGGAGCGAACAGGAUUAGAUACCCUGGUAGUCCAUGCCGUAAACGUUGGGCACUAGGUGUGGGGGACAUUCCACGUUUUCCGCGCCGUAGCUAACGCAUUAAGUGCCCCGCCUGGGGAGUACGGCCGCAAGGCUAAAACUCAAAGGAAUUGACGGGGGCCC